GGGGGCGUAGCUCAAUUGGUUAGAGUACCAGCCUGUCACGCUGGGUGUUGCGGGUUCGAGUCCCGUCGCUCCCGCCA
This 77-nucleotide transfer RNA is filed under the name Victivallales bacterium. Its description in RNAcentral is "tRNA-Asp". It matches the Rfam family "tRNA". Rfam says of the family: Transfer RNA (tRNA) molecules are approximately 80 nucleotides in length. Their secondary structure includes four short double-helical elements and three loops (D, anti-codon, and T loops). Lineage: Bacteria; Pseudomonadati; Lentisphaerota; Lentisphaeria; Victivallales. The record is from RNAcentral.